RNAcentral lists this ribosomal RNA (561 nucleotides) under Phascolosoma esculenta. RNAcentral's name for it is "partial 16S ribosomal RNA". It matches the Rfam family "Bacterial large subunit ribosomal RNA", at positions 1834 to 2620 of the family's 2925-position model. The record is from RNAcentral. Lineage: Eukaryota; Metazoa; Annelida; Sipuncula; Phascolosomatiformes; Phascolosomatidae.
CAAAAUCAGCUAUGGAGGCAUUGCCUGCCCAGUGACAACUGUUUAACGGCCGCGGUAUCCUGACCGUGCAAAGGUAGCAUAAUCAUUUGUUCUCUAAAUAAGGACUUGUAUGAAUGGCCGCACGAGGGUUUUACUGUCUCUUACUUCCAAUCAGUGAAAUUGACCUUCCCGUGAAGAGGCGGGAAUGCACAAAUAAGACGAGAAGACCCUAUGGAGCUUUAACUAACCAACCCAAAGAGAAUAGAUUUAACCAUUAAGGAAUAACAACAAUCUCCAUGAGUUGGUAGUUUCGGUUGGGGUGACCUCGGAGAAUAAAAAAUCCUCCGAGCGAUUUUAAAGACUAGACCCACAAGUCAAAUCACUCUAUCGCUCAUUGAUCCAAAAACUUGAUCAACGGAACAAGUUACCCUAGGGAUAACAGCGCAAUCCUAUUCAAGAGUCCAUAUCGACAAUAGGGUUUACGACCUCGAUGUUGGAUCAGGACAUCCUGAUGGUGCAACCGCUAUCAAAGGUUCGUUUGUUCAACGAUUAAAGUCCUACGUGAUCUGAGUUCAGACCGGA